This 254-nucleotide ribosomal RNA is filed under the name uncultured bacterium. RNAcentral's name for it is "partial 16S ribosomal RNA". It matches the Rfam family "Bacterial small subunit ribosomal RNA", at positions 524 to 776 of the family's 1533-position model. The record is from RNAcentral.
UACGUAGGGUGCGAGCGUUGUCCGGAAUUACUGGGCGUAAAGAGCUCGUAGGCGGUUUGUCGCGUCGUCUGUGAAAUUCUGCAACUCAAUUGUAGGCGUGCAGGCGAUACGGGCAGACUUGAGUACUACAGGGGGAGACUGGAAUUCCUGGUGUAGCGGUGAAAUGCGCAGAUAUCAGGAGGAACACCGGUGGCGAAGGCGGGUCUCUGGGUAGUAACUGACGCUGAGGAGCGAAAGCGUGGGGAGCGAACAGG